Molecule: long non-coding RNA, 802 nt
Filed under: Pan troglodytes (chimpanzee)
Lineage: Eukaryota; Metazoa; Chordata; Mammalia; Primates; Hominidae
Description: lincRNA
Source: RNAcentral
GCUGGCAAUGGUGGGGAAAAAGUUAUAAAAAUUGUCUCUGCACCAUCUUCCUUUUGUCCUCUAAAAUAUUCACAUUAGCAAAUGUAUAUAACAGCUGAUGAAUACUGAUAAUUUGUCUUUCUUCUUUAAGAUAUGAAGACUUCAAAGUUAUUUAUCCAAACCAACCUGAUCAUUUCUUAAGAGUGAAUAUACCUUGGAAGAUGUGUCCUGCCUUUAGUAGCGUCACAAUGGAUUACAUCCUCUAUAAAGCAGUCUGGGAUAUUCUGCCCAAUCAGAGGCUAACAUCUGCCACAAGACAAAUAUGGUGCCUGCCCCCGUGGAGCUCAUAUUCGAAUGGAGAAAAUGUCAACAAGUAUCCCACGGAGUGAACACUUCAAAAGGAGAAGCACAGGUGAGAAGAUCAAAUUUGGACACCGUUGAGGAGACUAUUGCAGUCAUCCAAGCUCAAGAUGGUGGAGCUUCAUCCUUGAGAAUAACCUAUGGGGAUAGAUUUAAGAGACACUUAGAGUCUGCAGCCAACAGGGCUGAAUGAGCAGAGAGUUAUGAUUCAGAAGAUCAUCUAAAAUUGAACAGCUGCCACUACUGGCAGUAAGUCUACUGCCAUUUGGUAGAUAACCUUCUUAUCACACAGAAAAAUAUCAGUACAGACAAAUAGACCGCAAAGAAAAUGAGACCAUCAGCAAAGAAGAUAAAGAAGUUUGUACAAAGCAACUUUUUAUAAAUGGAUGGCUGUCAGGCAAAAAUAAAUUUCCUGUGGACAAGACCAAGAGCAAGGCAAGAGGAAAAUAAACAUGUUUAAACU